GAUGAACGCUAGCUACAGGCUUAACACAUGCAAGUCGAGGGGAAACGACAUCGAAAGCUUGCUUUUGAUGGGCGUCGACCGGCGCACGGGUGAGUAACGCGUAUCCAACCUGCCCAUCACUUGGGGAUAACCUUGCGAAAGUAAGACUAAUACCCAAUGAUAUCUCUAGAAGACAUCUGAAAGAGAAUAAAGAUUUAUCGGUGAUGGAUGGGGAUGCGUCUGAUUAGCUUGUUGGCGGGGUAACGGCCCACCAAGGCGACGAUCAGUAGGGGUUCUGAGAGGAAGGUCCCCCACAUUGGAACUGAGACACGGUCCAAACUCCUACGGGAGGCAGCAGUGAGGAAUAUUGGUCAAUGGACGAGAGUCUGAACCAGCCAAGUAGCGUGCAGGAAGACGGCCCUAUGGGUUGUAAACUGCUUUUAUAAGGGAAUAAAGUGAGUCUCGUGAGACUUUUUGCAUGUACCUUAUGAAUAAGGACCGGCUAAUUCCGUGCCAGCAGCCGCAGUAA
Molecule: ribosomal RNA, 508 nt
Filed under: uncultured bacterium
Lineage: Bacteria
Description: partial 16S ribosomal RNA
Rfam family: Bacterial small subunit ribosomal RNA
Source: RNAcentral